Molecule: ribosomal RNA, 447 nt
Filed under: uncultured bacterium
Lineage: Bacteria
Description: bacterial SSU rRNA
Rfam family: Bacterial small subunit ribosomal RNA
Source: RNAcentral
UACCAGACUCCUACGGGAGGCAGCAGUGGGGAAUAUUGCACAAUGGGGGAAACCCUGAUGCAGCGACGCCGCGUGAGCGAUGAAGUAUUUCGGUAUGUAAAGCUCUAUCAGCAGGGAAGAAGAUGACGGUACCUGACUAAGAAGCCCCGGCUAACUACGUGCCAGCAGCCGCGGUAAUACGUAGGGGGCAAGCGUUAUCCGGAUUUACUGGGUGUAAAGGGAGCGUAGACGGCGAUGCAAGCCAGAUGUGAAAGCCCGGGGCUCAACCCCGGGACUGCAUUUGGAACUGUGUGGCUGGAGUGUCGGAGAGGCAGGCGGAAUUCCUAGUGUAGCGGUGAAAUACGUAGAUAUUAGGAGGAACACCAGUGGCGAAGGCGGCCUGCUGGACGAUGACUGACGUUGAGGCUCGAAAGCGUGGGGAGCAAACAGGAUUAGAUACCCGCGUAU